Molecule: ribosomal RNA, 468 nt
Filed under: uncultured Staphylococcus sp.
Lineage: Bacteria; Bacillati; Bacillota; Bacilli; Caryophanales; Staphylococcaceae
Description: bacterial SSU rRNA
Rfam family: Bacterial small subunit ribosomal RNA
Source: RNAcentral
UCAGGAUGAACGCUGGCGGCGUGCCUAAUACAUGCAAGUCGAGCGAACAGAUGAGAAGCUUGCUUCUCUGAUGUUAGCGGCGGACGGGUGAGUAACACGUGGGUAACCUACCUAUAAGACUGGGAUAACUCCGGGAAACCGGGGCUAAUACCGGAUAAUAUUUUGAACCGCAUGGUUCAAUAGUGAAAGACGGUUUCGGCUGUCACUUAUAGAUGGACCCGCGCCGUAUUAGCUAGUUGGUAAGGUAACGGCUUACCAAGGCGACGAUACGUAGCCGACCUGAGAGGGUGAUCGGCCACACUGGAACUGAGACACGGUCCAGACUCCUACGGGAGGCAGCAGUAGGGAAUCUUCCGCAAUGGGCGAAAGCCUGACGGAGCAACGCCGCGUGAGUGAUGAAGGUCUUCGGAUCGUAAAACUCUGUUGUUAGGGAAGAACAAAUUUGUUAGUAACUGAACAAGUCUGACG